AACUCGUAACAAGGUUUCCGUAGGUGAACCUGCGGAAGGAUCAUUAACACGUAUCCAAACGUAAAAAACCCCCCCCGUGAACAUUCAAUCCUGCUCAAUGUAAUACAUUGGGUAAAAAAACCGAACAACUGUUAACAAUGGAUAUCUUGGUUCUC
This 155-nucleotide unclassified non-coding RNA is filed under the name fungal sp. RNAcentral describes it as "partial internal transcribed spacer region". The stretch from base 1 to 46 matches the Rfam family "Eukaryotic small subunit ribosomal RNA", at positions 1786 to 1831 of the family's 1831-position model. Lineage: Eukaryota; Fungi. The record is from RNAcentral.